This 294-nucleotide ribosomal RNA is filed under the name uncultured bacterium. RNAcentral's name for it is "partial 16S ribosomal RNA". It matches the Rfam family "Bacterial small subunit ribosomal RNA", at positions 334 to 621 of the family's 1533-position model. The record is from RNAcentral.
UGGUCCUACGGGGGGCAGCAGUGGGGAAUUUUGGACAAUGGGCGCAAGCCUGAUCCAGCUAUUCCGCGUGUGGGAUGAAGGCCCUCGGUUUGUAAACCACUUUUGUAGAGAACGAAAAGACACCUUUUAAUAAAGGGUGUUGCUGACGGUACUCUAGAAUAAGCACCGGCUAACUACGUGCCAGCAGCCGCGGUAAUACGUAGGGUGCGAGCGUUAAUCGGAAUUACUGGGCGUAAAGGGUGCGCAGGCGGUUGUGUAAGGCAGAUGUGAAAUCCCCCAGCUUAACUCGGGAAU